RNAcentral lists this transfer RNA (72 nucleotides) under Heterocephalus glaber (naked mole-rat). It matches the Rfam family "tRNA". Rfam says of the family: Transfer RNA (tRNA) molecules are approximately 80 nucleotides in length. The record is from Rfam by way of RNAcentral. Lineage: Eukaryota; Metazoa; Chordata; Mammalia; Rodentia; Bathyergidae.
GGGGAUGUAGCUCAGUGAUUGACCACUUGCUUAAUAUGCAUGAGAUGCUGGGUUUAAUCCCCAGUUUUUCCA